Molecule: long non-coding RNA, 1094 nt
Filed under: Ficedula albicollis (Collared flycatcher)
Lineage: Eukaryota; Metazoa; Chordata; Aves; Passeriformes; Muscicapidae
Description: lncRNA (ENSFALG00000026959.1)
Source: RNAcentral
UUAGCAAGUGAUGGAGAUGGAAUUUCACAUCCAGGAGUUGGGUACUGGUAAUUGUGAAGGGUUUGCUCAGGGGCCAGGCUCUCCCAUCCCUUUAAACCCUGGGACAUGGACAGGGGGAAAAGCACAUUUCCUCAGCAAUUAUCCUUUUCCCACGUGGGUGAGAAGUGGAUGAACUGGUGCCCAUGUAGUUCCUGCUGUUCAAAUCCACUGGGAAAAUCUCCAUUUCCAGAGCCAGGCUUUGCUCCCAUUUCCUAUUUCCCAUUUCCAGAGCCAGGCUUUGCUGCCUUUUCCCAUUUUUCAUUUCCCAUUCCCAGAGCAAGGAUUUAAUCCCAUUUCCCAGGGCCAGGCUUUGCUCCCAUUUCCCAUUUCCCAGAGCCAGGCUUUGUUCCCAUUUCCCAUUUCCAGAGCCAGGCUUUGCUCCCAUUUCCCAUUUCCAGGAUCAGGCUUUGCUCCCAUUUUCCAUUUCCAGAGCCAGGCUUUGCUCCCUUUUCUUUCCCCAUUCCCAGAGCCAGGCUUUGCUCCCUCUUCUUUCCCCAUUUCCCUUCCCCUGCUCUGCUCUGCUCCUGCAGGAUCGAUUGGAACAACAAGCUCUGUAAAUAUCAAUAUUUUUGUGCUGGAAGCAGCUGAAGUGAAACACCCCAAACACCGGCCAGGCUGCACAGACACAAACAAUUUAAUGGGAGAGCAGAGCAGGCAGGAGGAAAAGGAGAUUUUCUGUGUCUUGGGAAGGGAAAAUCAGCAGUGGAGGAGAGGAGGAAAAGGGACAGGAGAGCAGGGACAGCCAGAGGGCAGAGCAGGCUCCUGGGGUUUCUCAUUUUUGGGUGGUUUCCACUCAAUCCUGCUGCCAAAGAGCCUGUCCUGGGCCGGUUUGUGGUUCUGUGGGAUUGCAAACCCUGCAGGAGGAAGAACUCAGCGCUGGGUGUGAUUUAUGUCCUGGCUGCCCUUCCUUCCCCUGGCCACAGAAUCCCAGAACAUCCUGGGAGGGAACCUCACCCUGAGCUGCAUUUCCAACAACCCCUGCCCACAGCUCAGAGCUACAGGCAAAAGGACAUUUUGUUGUUGUUUCCUGGUGCCGAACACCCCCCAGAUUAGCA